GAAACGACUGCUAAGACUGGAUAGGAAAUUAGAAGGCAUCUUUUAAUUUUUAAAAGACCUUUUUCGAAAGGUAUACUUAAAGAGGGGCUUGCGGCACAUUAGUUAGUUGGUAGGGUAAAAGCCUACCAAGACCAUGAUGUGUAGCUGGACUGAGAGGUUGAACAGCCACAUUGGGACUGAGACACGGCCCAAACUCCUACGGGAGGCAGCAGUAGGGAAUUUUCGGCAAUGGAGGAAACUCUGACCGAGCAACGCCGCGUGAACGAUGAAGUAUUUCGGUAUGUAAAGUUCUUUUAUUGAAGAAGAAAAAAUAGUGGAAAAACUAUCUUGACGAUAUUCAAUGAAUAAGCCCCGGCAAACUAUGUGCCAGCAGCCGCGGUAAUACAUAGGGGGCGAGCGUUAUCCGGAAUUAUUGGGCGUAAAGGGUGCGUAGGCGGUUUGGUAAGUCUAUAGUUUAAUUUCAGUGCUUAACACUGUUCUGCUAUAGAAACUAUCAGACUAGAGUGAGAUAGAGGCAAGUGGAAUUCCAUGUGUAGCGGUAAAAUGCGUAAAUAUAUGGAGGAACACCAGAGGCGUGGGCGGCUUGCUGGGUCUUUACUGACGCUGAGGCACGAAAGCGUGGGGAGCAAACAGGAUUAGAUACCCUGGUAGUCCACGCCGUAAACGAUGAGUACUAAGUGUCGGGGAAACUCGGUACUGAAGUUAACACAUUAAGUACUCCGCCUGAGUAGUACGUACGCAAGUAUGAAACUUAAAGGAAUUGACGGGACUCCGCACAAGCGGUGGAUCGUGUUGUUUAAUUCGAAGAUACACGAAAAACCUUACCAGGUCUUGACAUACUCUGCAAAGCUAUAGCAAUAUAGUGGAGGUUAUCAGGGAUACAGGUGGUGCAUGGUUGUCGUCAGCUCGUGUCGUGAGAUGUUAGGUUAAGUCCUAAAACGAGCGCAACCCUUGUCACUAGUUGCCAGCAUGUUAUGAUGGGCACUUUAGUGAGACUGCCAAUGAAAAAUUGGAGGAAGGUGAGGAUCACGUCAAAUCAUCAUGCCCCUUAUGAUCUGGGCUACAAACGUGAUACAAUGGCUGUUACAAAGAGUAGCUAAAACACGAGUUUAUAGCCAAUCUCAUAAAAGCAGUCUCAGUUCGGAUUGAAGUCUGCAACUCGACUUCAUGAAGUUGGAAUCGCUAGUAAUCGCGAAUCAGCAUGUCGCGGUGAAUACGUUCACGGGGUUUGUACACACGGCCCGUCA
This 1247-nucleotide ribosomal RNA is filed under the name Coconut yellow decline phytoplasma. RNAcentral's name for it is "bacterial SSU rRNA". It matches the Rfam family "Bacterial small subunit ribosomal RNA", at positions 153 to 1399 of the family's 1533-position model. Lineage: Bacteria; Bacillati; Mycoplasmatota; Mollicutes; Acholeplasmatales; Acholeplasmataceae. The record is from RNAcentral.